Molecule: ribosomal RNA, 466 nt
Filed under: Vreelandella stevensii
Lineage: Bacteria; Pseudomonadati; Pseudomonadota; Gammaproteobacteria; Oceanospirillales; Halomonadaceae
Description: partial 16S ribosomal RNA
Rfam family: Bacterial small subunit ribosomal RNA
Source: RNAcentral
CCUACGGGUGGCAGCAGUGGGGAAUAUUGGACAAUGGGGGGAACCCUGAUCCAGCCAUGCCGCGUGUGUGAAGAAGGCCCUCGGGUUGUAAAGCACUUUCAGUGAGGAAGAACGCCUGGUGGUUAAUACCCAUCAGGAAAGACAUCACUCACAGAAGAAGCACCGGCUAACUCCGUGCCAGCAGCCGCGGUAAUACGGAGGGUGCGAGCGUUAAUCGGAAUUACUGGGCGUAAAGCGCGCGUAGGUGGCUUGAUAAGCCGGUUGGUGAAAGCCCCGGGCUCAACCUGGGAACGGCAUCCGGAACUGUCAAGCUAGAGUGCAGGAGAGGAAGGUAGAAUUCCCGGUGUAGCGGUGAAAUGCGUAGAGAUCGGGAGGAAUACCAGUGGCGAAGGCGGCCUUCUGGACUGACACUGACACUGAGGUGCGAAAGCGUGGGUAGCAAACAGGAUUAGAUACCCUUGUAGUC